RNAcentral lists this ribosomal RNA (791 nucleotides) under uncultured bacterium. RNAcentral's name for it is "bacterial SSU rRNA". It matches the Rfam family "Bacterial small subunit ribosomal RNA", at positions 8 to 794 of the family's 1533-position model. The record is from RNAcentral.
AGAGUUUGAUCAUGGCUCAGGAUGAACGCUAGCGGCGGGCCUAAUACAUGCAAGUCGAGGGGCAUCGCGGGUAGCAAUACUUGGCGGCGACCGGCGCACGGGUGCGUAACGCGUAUGCAACCUGCCCUUAACACGGGGAUAGCCCUCCGAAAGGAGGAUUAAUACCCGAUGGUAUGUAGGAAUGACAUCGUUUUUACAUUAAAGAUUUAUCGGUUAAGGAUGGGCAUGCGUCUGAUUAGCUAGUUGGGGGGGUAACGGCCCACCAAGGCGACGAUCAGUAGGGGUUCUGAGAGGAUGAUCCCCCACACCGGUACUGAGACACGGACCGGACUCCUACGGGAGGCAGCAGUAAGGAAUAUUGGUCAAUGGGCGGAAGCCUGAACCAGCCACGCCGCGUGCAGGAAGAAGGCCCUACGGGUUGUAAACUGCUUUUAUACGGGAAGAACCGCCCUCCUGCGGGGGGGUAUGACGGUACCGUAGGAAUAAGCAUCGGCUAACUCCGUGCCAGCAGCCGCGGUAAUACGGAGGAUGCAAGCGUUAUCCGGAUUCAUUGGGUUUAAAGGGUGCGUAGGUGGGUCCAUAAGUCAGUGGUGAAAUCCGGCAGCUCAACUGUCGCACUGCCUCUGAUACUGUGGGUCUUGAGUUAAGUUGAAGCAGGCGGAAUAUGACAUGUAGCGGUGAAAUGCAUAGAUAUGUCAUAGAACACCGAUAGCGAAGGCAGCCUGCUAAACUUACACUGACACUGAUGCACGAAAGCGUGGGUAGCGAACAGGAUUAGAUACCCCGGUAGU